UUUAUAACGAAGACGAAGACGAGAAUAUCAAAGUUAUUUAAAAGAGACUUAGUGGUUGGUGAAAACUAAGAAUAACUGAUAUUUAUACACUUUCUGAGUUCUAUGUGAAAAGCAUAGACGGUUAGGACCGUUACAUCUAUUAGAGGGCUAGUAUUAGUUUACUAGAAUCAAGGUGGUACCACGGAUUUAAUAGUUCGUCCUUAUU
The sequence is a non-coding RNA, 205 nucleotides long. It matches the Rfam family "T-box leader". Rfam says of the family: Uncharged tRNA acts as the effector for transcription antitermination of genes in the T-box leader family. T-boxes are found upstream of many aminoacyl-tRNA synthetase genes and some amino acid biosynthetic genes usually in Gram-positive bacteria.